This 253-nucleotide ribosomal RNA is filed under the name uncultured bacterium. Its description in RNAcentral is "partial 16S ribosomal RNA". It matches the Rfam family "Bacterial small subunit ribosomal RNA", at positions 524 to 776 of the family's 1533-position model. The record is from RNAcentral.
UACGAAGGGGGCGAGCGUUGUUCGGAUUUACUGGGCGUAAAGGGCGCGCAGGCGGCUAUUUUUGUCAGGCGUGAAAGCCCCGGGCUCAACCUGGGAACUGCGCUUGAAACGGGAUGGCUAGAGAUCGGGAGAGGAGAGUGGAAUUCCCAGUGUAGAGGUGAAAUUCGUAGAUAUUGGGAAGAACACCGGUGGCGAAGGCGGCCUGCUGGGCAGUGGCUGACGCUGAGGCGCGACAGCGUGGGGAGCAAACAGG